RNAcentral lists this long non-coding RNA (1262 nucleotides) under Linum usitatissimum (flax). RNAcentral's name for it is "long non-coding RNA (LUSI_LNC007246)". Lineage: Eukaryota; Viridiplantae; Streptophyta; Magnoliopsida; Malpighiales; Linaceae. The record is from RNAcentral.
GAUGAUUUCGGCUAGCUAUCUUUUUUUUCUUCUCUCUCGAUUUCAACAUAAAAUUGGGCAAGUGCUCAAAGUAAAUUAGGGCAGAGCAAAGCAAAGCGAGUAGCUCCUCUCAGUACAAGUCCAGGUAUUCUUCGAUUUCUUACUGUUCCAUGAUCUUUUGCGAAAGUUAUAUAGUUUUUGAAUUCCUGAAACCCUAAUUUUCUGUCUCCCCAACUCAGAAGAUCUCAUGUCUGGCUUCGAGGGAUUUGAUUCACCCUUAAGUUUUUUUUUAAUCUGUUGCUUCUACCAGUAACCCUUCCCCCCCUGUCCUGGUGUGUACUAGUUGUGAUUCCCUAACUUGUUGUUUCCCUAGACAGAAUCCUCAGUCUCGAGAGUGGGCCGAGGCCGAAUAUGCCAGAUUGCUCAGCUAUUUUCCUAGGCUCAUUGGCGACCUUAGCAUUGCCGGGAGCUGGACACAAGCAAGCUGUACUCGAUCUGCUUACUCGCUUAUCGGUGGUUGCUGGAGAUUUCGAUGUAAAGGAUAGGAAGAGGAAGAAGAUGUAAAGGGGUCAGAUUUUUCCUGAAACAUGAUUACUCUAGUUUAUUCUCUAUGAUCAAUAUUUUGUGAACGGCGAAGUGCGACUUUCAGUGUGCUUCCUCUGUCUCUACCGUUAUUAAUCCGGAGCUGAACUCGCCUGCUCGAAAACCCCAAACUCUUUGAUCACUUCCCCCACUCUCUUCAAUCCUCACUGCAUGUCUACUUUUUCAAAAAAAAUUCUAUGCACUGAUUAGGGUUUAACAACCGAUCAAUAUGACAACUCUUCUCUCCAACGCUGUCAAUUUGCGGGCCUCUCAAGUCUGCUAAACUCAAUUUCGUCACACAUUGCACGAUUUCCCCGAGAAAUCGAGGAAUCAGUGUAGGAUCGAAUGUCUUACUGAGAAAGCUUAGUUUCCGGAGGAGCUGAAGAAAGCAGCAGCUUCUUCAACUUACCUGUUUAGAUCUGAAGUUGGCGGUUGCUUACUGAAUUUGGCAGAUGAAAGCCUGCCAAUUCAUCAGUAUUUCCCAGGAAAAAGAUGCAUCAAAAUUUGAUUCUAACUUUACAGAUCAUAGUAUCAUCUUUUUGGUCCUAGACUACCACAACAGAAACUGAUCAGAGAUGGCGAAAUCACAACCGAAAUUAUCUCGAAACCAUAAAGACUCUACCAUUUGAUAUUAACAGCAAGCUCUAGCAGCAGAGCUUCAACCUUGUGGAUUGUCGGUUGCUUCUCUUGCUGCUUCAGUU